RNAcentral lists this ribosomal RNA (468 nucleotides) under uncultured bacterium. Its description in RNAcentral is "partial 16S ribosomal RNA". It matches the Rfam family "Bacterial small subunit ribosomal RNA", at positions 28 to 507 of the family's 1533-position model. The record is from RNAcentral.
GACGAACGCUGGCGGCGUGCUUAACACAUGCAAGUCGAACGGAAAGGCCCUGCUUUUGUGGGGUGCUCGAGUGGCGAACGGGGGAGUAACACGUGAGUAACCUGCCCUUGACUUUGGGAGAACUUCAGGGAACUGGGGCUAAUACAGGAUAGGAGCUCCUGCUGCAUGGUGGGGGUUGGAAAGUGUCGGCGGUUGGGGAUGGACUCGCGGCUUACGAGCUUGUUGGUGGGGUAGUUGCUGACCAAGGCUUUGACGGGUAGCCGGCAUGAGAGGGUGACCGGCCACAUUGGGACUGAGAUACGGACCAGACUCCUACGGGAGGCAGCAGGGGGGAAUAUUGCACAAUGGGCGGAAGCCUGAUGCAGCAACGCCGCGUGCGGGAUGACGGCCUUCGGGUUGUAAACCGCUUUCGCCUGUGACGAAGCGUGAGUGACGGUAAUGGGUAAAGAAGCACCGGCUAACUACGUG